This is a long non-coding RNA of Pyrus x bretschneideri (Chinese white pear), 1159 nucleotides long. RefSeq lists it as uncharacterized. The transcript has 2 exons. NCBI's taxonomy places the organism in Eukaryota, Viridiplantae, Streptophyta, Magnoliopsida, Rosales, Rosaceae. The record is from RefSeq and is a predicted model, not a curated record.
GGUACUUGUGAGAUUGUCAUUUUCUGUAUAUUUUACUAUUUCUGUAUAAUAAACAGUUUUUUAUUUUAUUUAAUUCCAAGCUUGACAUUGAAACUGAAUUAGAAAGAAAAAUGGUCCCAAAAUGUUAAGAGCAAUGAAAUUGCGUUGAUGGGGGUGGUGUGAGUAAUGGCAACCAUAUACUUGAUAACAGCUUCUUACAUUUACAAGUGCCUUGUGAUGGUGAAUUCUUAAUUUAAAGUAUGUUGUAGUUUGUGUUGGCCAUUUGAUUUAAAACUAGGAAUGCUCAUUUUCUGGUUUCUGAAUUCUUAACCAAUUUGAGCAGGAUGUAAUGUUAUACCUAUUCAAAAGUGAACAAGGGUAAGGUUGUGAUUUGAUUAUCAAUUUAAAAAAUGUAGCUUAGUAUUGUUUUGGCAUUUUGGUGAAAUGGGUUUGUUUGUACCCAACUGCAAGCCUUUUGUUUGCGCAUGAUUUAAUAGUUGACUGAGUAUCCAUGCUUAUACAUACUUUAAUCAGUUUUUUUGCAACAUGUGUUCAUGUGGCUGAAAUUCUAUGAUUAGUUUUCUUCCUUGAAAUUUUUAUUAGUUUAAUUCUAUUCGAAUAUGAAUUAUUUCUUUAUGCAAAAUAGAUACCUUUUGGUUUGUUGGUGAGGCAUUAUUUACUAAAGGUGGUUUUAUAGGAACUGCUUAUGAAGAGAAUGAAGUGGCAAAUUUUUCAUACAAUUGUCAAUACUAAAGUUGCAGAAUGAAUCUAAGGAUGCAAGUUUCCUUACAAACUUGGUUAGAUUUGAAAGUGUUUCUUUGAAAGUUUGCAAGUUUUAUUUCUCUUCAUUGACAAAAAUUCAUAGAUUGGCAGCUUGUGACAUACUAACUUGUAGUAGUAGAGGGAAAGGCCUGUUACCAUGGACAAAGAAUGCGUUCACCAGUCAAGGUUCUUUGCUCUCAAGUAUGCUGCAGGUGCAAGAUGGUUGUGAUUGUGCAGGUGCUGGUGCUAGAUGGUUGUGAUUAUGCAGGGGCAAGAUGCAAGAUGUGUUGUGAUGCUACAUGGCAACCAAUUUUGAGGAAUAACAGUAGGAUAAUUUUAUUAUGUGACAUGCUUUUGUAUAAGUACUCUAGAUGUACGAUCCAAACUUAUCAAUCAAUAAAGUAUUAUUUCUUAACAA